AUAGUAAACCUCCGGUUCUCGUUAGAUCACCGAAGUUAAGCAUCAUUGCGCGCGGUCAGUACUUGGGUGGGUGACCACCUGGGAACACCGCGUGCCGUU
This 99-nucleotide ribosomal RNA is filed under the name Caerostris darwini. Lineage: Eukaryota; Metazoa; Arthropoda; Arachnida; Araneae; Araneidae. The record is from RNAcentral.